GCGCCGGUAGUGUAGUGGUAUCACAGGGGCUUGCCAAAGCCUCUAACUCGGGUUCGAGUCCCGGUCGGUGCA
Molecule: transfer RNA, 72 nt
Filed under: Candidatus Methanophagales archaeon
Lineage: Archaea; Methanobacteriati; Methanobacteriota; Methanomicrobia; Candidatus Methanophagales
Description: Methanophagales archaeon tRNA-Gly
Rfam family: tRNA
About the family: Transfer RNA (tRNA) molecules are approximately 80 nucleotides in length.
Source: RNAcentral